Molecule: transfer RNA, 76 nt
Filed under: Paracoccus sp. (in: a-proteobacteria)
Lineage: Bacteria; Pseudomonadati; Pseudomonadota; Alphaproteobacteria; Rhodobacterales; Paracoccaceae
Also listed under: 1 other name
Description: Paracoccus sp. (anaerobic digester metagenome) tRNA-Val
Rfam family: tRNA
About the family: Transfer RNA (tRNA) molecules are approximately 80 nucleotides in length. Their secondary structure includes four short double-helical elements and three loops (D, anti-codon, and T loops).
Source: RNAcentral
GGGCGGUUAGCUCAGCUGGUAGAGCAUCUCGUUUACACCGAGGUUGUCGGGGGUUCGAAUCCCUCACCGCCCACCA